This is an RNA transcript of Rhinopithecus roxellana (golden snub-nosed monkey), 4410 nucleotides long. It is a transcript of the gene named tyrosine-protein phosphatase non-receptor type 18-like, with no coding region annotated. The record is from RefSeq and is a predicted model, not a curated record. Lineage: Eukaryota; Metazoa; Chordata; Mammalia; Primates; Cercopithecidae. The transcript is spliced from 13 exons.
CCUGCCCGCCGCUCUGCGCUUCCAUUGGCUGCCCAGGCCCGGGCGGGGGCUCCCUCUCCGGCCUCCGCCUCCCGCGGGGUCCACACUCGCAGCGCGGAGCGCGGCGGCCGGGCUGGACCUCGCUGGACCUCGCUGGCCCGCGGCGCCAUGAGCCGCAGUCUGGACGCCGCGCGGAGCUUCCUGGAGCGGCUGGAAGCGCGGGGCCGGGAGGGGCCCGUCCUCGCCGGCGAGUUCAGAGACAUCCAGGCCCGCUCGGCCGCCUGGAAGGCUGAUGGCAUGUGCUCCACCAAGGCCGGCAGUCGGCCAGAGAAUGUGAGGAAGAUCCGCUACAAAGACGUGCUGCCAUAUGAUCAGACGCGAGUAAUCCUCUCCCUGCUCCAGGAAGAGGGACACAGCGACUACAUUAAUGGCAACUUCAUCCGGGGCGUGGAUGGAAGCCUGGCCUACAUUGCCACUCAAGGACCCUUGCCUCACACCCUGCUAGACUUCUGGAGACUGGUCUGGGAGUUUGGGGUCAAGGUGAUCCUGAUGGCCUGCCGAGAGAUAGAGAACGGGCGGAAAAGGUGUGAGCGGUACUGGGCCCAGGAGCAGGAGCCAGUGCAGACUGGGAUUUUCUGCAUCACUCUGAUAAAGGAGAAGUGGCUGAAUGAGGACAUCAUGCUGAGGACCCUCAAGGUCACAUUCCAGAAGGAGUCCCGUUCUGUGUCCCAGCUACAGUAUAUGUCCUGGCCAGACCGUGGGGUCCCCAGCAGUCCUGACCACAUGCUUGCCAUGGUGGAGGAAGCCCGUUGCCUCCAGGGAUCUGGCCCUGAACCCCUCUGUGUCCACUGCAGUGCGGGCUGUGGGCGAACAGGUGUCCUGUGCACCGUGGAUUACGUGAGGCAGCUGCUCCUGACCCAGAUGAUCCCACCUGACUUCAGCCUCUUUGAUGUGGUCCUUGAGAUGAGGAAGCAGCGGCCUGCGGCCGUGCAGACAGAGGAGCAGUACAGGUUCCUGUACCACACGGUGGCCCAGAUGUUCUGCUCCAUGAUCCAGAAUGCCAGCCUCCACUACCAGAACAUCAAAGAGGUACAGAGGCCCCUUUCCCACUCUCCUGUCCACCAUCAGCACCCUCAGAGACCAGGACCCCAAGCAGGGUCCAGCCCCCGGGACUCCUGGGAGCAGGCACUGCCUAUGACAUCCACCUGUGCCCUCCUCCGGGCAUCCUUAUCAGGCUCUCCCGUCUCAAGCUUUCUCCCAGAGCCCCGUGAGAGGCCUGGCCAGCUUCCUCCCUCAGGAGCCUCCCCUCCUGUUUUUCCUCAGAAUUGUGCCCCACUCUACGACGAUGCCCUCUUCCUCCGGACUCCCCAGGCACUUCUCGCCAUACCCCGCCCACCAGGAGGGGUCCUCAGGCCGACCCCGUUCCUCCUUCAUCCACCUAACGUGCAGGGCGCUAGGGACACAGAAGCGAGGCCCGCACCCAGGGAGCCCUCCCUCCCGUCUAGCGCACCGCCUCGACGGGAAGGAAGCCCGUGGUUUGCGCACUGAGCAGCCUUCCCACUCCCGCCCUGCCCAGCACCGCCGUUUCACUUCCUCCCGGCCCUCCCUGCCUGCAGUAUCUCGGUGCACGGGUCCCCGGGCCACGCCAUGGCUGACACCUACGCGGUGGUGCAGAAGCGCGGGGCUCCAGCGGGCGCCGGGCCGGGGACGGAGACCGGGACGGUGGCGCGCAGCGCGGAGGAGGUGCCGCUCUACAGCCAGGUGACGCCGCGCGCCCAGCGGCCCGGGGCGCACGCGGAAGACGUGCGGGGCACGGUGCCUGGCCGCGGUGAGUCGAGGCUUGCUCCUUCUCAGGGAACCAUCCUGCUGUGGUCCGCAAGGCCCCGGGGGCCGGGAACACCCCCAGCCCCCAUGCUAACCUGGCCACGCCCCGACGCUGAGGUCGCGGCGUCCCUGGCCACGCCCCGGAAGCGCCCCCUGGCGGUCGCGGUCCCGGUCCCGGGGCAGAGUUCCGGGCGACACUAGCUUGCUUGUCUCGGCCGCGCCCAAAGGCUCGAGGCCACGUUCGGGGUGUGCGCCUUCUCCCGCCAGGCGCCCUCGGCCCUCCUCUUCGGGCCUCGGGGGAAGCAUCCCCGCCAGGGGUGAGGUCUUGGGACUCCCUGGGGCUUCCGGAGCUGACUUGUGGCGGGGGGUCUCCUGCCCUCAGUUCCUGCUGACCAAAGUCCUGCAGCAUCUGGAGCCUACGAGGACGUGGCGGGUGGAGCUCAGACUGGUGGGCUAGGUUUCAACCUGCGCAUUGGGAGGCCGAAGGGGCCGCGGGACCCCCCUGCUGAGUGGACCCGGGUGUGAGUCUGCGCCAGCUCCUGCCUGUUGCCUCGUGUGAGCUCGGACUGCUGAUGUCCCGGCGCUGCUGAGCGCCGUGUGCAGAAUGGAAACAGUGCGCCUGAAUCAAAAUAAAAGUUCCUCAGGGUGGGAAAUGUAGGGGCUUUGCCCCAGUGACUGUAGAAUUCAAGUCUUGAGGCUGGAGGAGGUAGGUUUGGUAUAAUGGCUGGUGAGGCUACACGGAGCAGAUUCAAGAAAGAAGAUCGGGAAGGGGCCUGGCCCCUGAGUUACCAAGGGAAGAAUGGACAGAUGAGCUUCCAGAGACUGCUGUCCUCACCACAUAACGCACUGGUCCAUCCUCAGCACCUGAGCCUGCCUCACUUGAACACUCAGGGGACCACACAGAGAAAUGGAUGGACCCCUCGCCAUCCAGGCAGACCGAUAAAAAGACCUCCAGAUAGGCAGACAGACGGAUGGAUCACCAACCUGGACAGACAGCCAAACCUUCAGAGAUACAGUCCGCAGGUGGACAAAGGGACCCCCAGCCGGAGAGACCACCAAACAGAGCCCCCGAAAGACAGACAUCUCUGCCAGCUGGACAGCCAGGUGGACCCCUAAGUUAGACAGAUGUAAACAGAUCCUCAGCUGAACAGACACACAGACUUCUCAGCCCUACCCCCAUCCCCCAGGUGGGCUGGCUGGCUGAAAAGACCUUCUGGCCAGACAGACUCCUAACCAACCAGAUGGACUGUCAGACAGACAUCAGCCACAUGGAAUCCUGACAUCCCAGCCAGCCGGCCAGACUCUCAUCUUGAUGGGUGAACCCCAGUUGGUUGGUCAGAUGUGAUCCUCCAGAUUGACAGAGAAGUCCCCCAAAUGAGUACAUAUCUCCAGCUAUUCAGACAGAUGGACCUCCAGCAAUUCAGGCCCUAUCUAGACCCCAGCCAAACAGACCCCCAACCAGACUGACCCCUUGCUGUUCACACAGCCUCCCGAGUAGCUGGGACUACAGGUCUAAUUUUUUUUUUUUUUUUUUUUUUUUUUUUUUUUUUUUUUUAGAGAUGAGUUUGCCAUGUUGCCCAGGCUAGUCUCGAACUCCUGAGCUAAAGCAAUCCUCCUGCCUUAGCCUCCCAAAGUGCUGAGAUUAUAGGUGUGAGCCACCAGGCUCAGCCCUGUAAGAUUUGAAACACUUUAAAUGGCCCACAGUAGGGUUCCUGCUAGGAUAAAACAUUAAGCAGCUGUUAAAAAAAAAAAAAAAAAAAAAAACCCGCCUCUGUGCACUGGUGUGGACAAAUCUCCAAGUCACUGCAAAAUGGAAAAAUAAAAGAUGCUCUUUCCUGGAACCUCAAGGGUCCCGCCCCUCUCACCUUCAGGUCUCUGGACCUCUGACUGACACUGUGCCUGCCCAGGUCCCUGUCUGUACCGCCACAGUGCCCUGGGUCCCACGUACACCCCUGUCCUGCCCUUCUCUGGGUGAGGGCUGGCCUUCCCCUGCCUCUGCCUGGCUGCAUCUUUGGUCGAUCUCAAGUGCCUUGGCAUGAAUUCCACUCCUGCAGCCUUUAAUCAGGGAAUGAUGGGGGAUGUGUUCAUACCCCCACCCCACCCCUUGGCCGGGUGAUGCUGAGAUGUGGAUUUUUAACAGUUCCCAGACUUUUCCAGGAGGCUUGGGUUUGGGUGCCCACAGUGGGAGGUGGUGUGAUACCUUCGCUGGCUGCCUUUCUUUCCUGUUCUCUGUGCCCCUACUUCCCACUCUAGAACUGCCCCGUUUCUCUGUUUUCGUGAAAGAGCUGGCCCUGUGCUGCCUCCCACUCUCCCAAUGCCCCUGCCUCUCCUGUGAGCCUGCUGCUGGUGAGGUCGGUGCUGACCUGUGUGUUGCUGGAUAAUGAGUCAUUUAUCUCUGGAGGAGAGGAAAGGCAGGUCCUCCACAGCCCUGAUAAAAUCUUCAAGUCUUCCAGUUUCAGGUCCUUCUCCUGGGAUGCAAACCUACUGCCUGCCCAGGUGGCAUGGUCCACAUCCCCUCUUCUUGGGAAUAGGGGCAUGGGAAAGUGACUGAAGAUACUGUUCUGGCUGCUGUGUUCACUGUGAGUAACAAAUUGUCCAUUUCUCCGA